CGAAGUCGAGGAGAAUCUUUCCGUUUAUCAAGUAUGAAUCUUGUCAAACAAAUCAAUGGCUGAAAUGCAUCAAGUGAAGCCAAAUCAAAAUUCAGUUUUGGGAAUUCCAGUCUAUAAAAUCAUUGAAGAGGUUAAAUAUACUGCAAAAGUAUUAAGAUGUCACUGAGAAACACAUAUCUGAUAAAGAUCUCUCCUGCUUGAACUUGAAGUCUGCCUCAGAAAGAUCUCGAAGUGGUGGAAGAAAGUUGACAUGCAAAAAGGACAAAAAGAGACAAAGAU
This is a long non-coding RNA of Mytilus californianus (California mussel), 279 nucleotides long. RefSeq lists it as uncharacterized. The transcript is spliced from 3 exons. The record is from RefSeq and is a predicted model, not a curated record. Lineage: Eukaryota; Metazoa; Mollusca; Bivalvia; Mytilida; Mytilidae.